GUCUAUGGUCAUACCACCCUGAAUGCCCCCAAUCUCGUCUGAUCUCAGAAGCUAAGCAGGGUUGGGCCUGAUUAGUACCUGAAUGGGAGAGUUGCUACUGAAAUCUAGUAGGUAGAGGCC
RNAcentral lists this ribosomal RNA (120 nucleotides) under Propithecus coquereli (Coquerel's sifaka). Lineage: Eukaryota; Metazoa; Chordata; Mammalia; Primates; Indriidae. The record is from RNAcentral.